CAGAUGGUAUCUUGAAGGGGGGGGGAGGUGGUUGAUGUAGGCACGGUGAUGAAGACGGGGGAGAUGGUGCGCGUCUCUGUGGGCGUUGUUGAGGGGCGGGGUUAAAGGACAUGCUGCCAACCCUGCGUAUUGCCUUAAUGCGGUCAUUGAACUCCAGGAAGGAAUUGGUGCCAUCCUGUAUCUCCUUCAUGUGUUCAGCAAUCUCCAGGAGGGUGGGCGAGGGUACACUUAACUAACAUGUUUUGUAGCCUGACCUUCCUCUUUCUGUAUGCUGUACCAUGUGAGCUAUGUACCAUACGUAAAGGAGGCCCACUGUGCCCCCGACCCGGCCACCCAGGACGGUGGAGAUCAUGGAGUACACUCCUCCACCGCCAACACCGCAGUGCUCACACACUCCGAUCCCCGACAUCACCGUCACUAAGGCAAACAGCACGACCAAGGAGACCAGGAACAUCCCGAGCAUCACGCCUGUGUUCCCCUGGAUGAUGAUGAUGGAGACAAGAUGACACAAAAUACUAUCCCAUGUGAAAGUGUUGCACAUCUGCAGCAUGUAACUCAUCAACAGCUUUAAAAACAAAAUAUUUGUACACAAAAAAUCAUAUAGUCUUUUACUUUCAAAUAUAUUUGUAUUUGGGUCUAAAAACCAAUGAAUGAGCAACGCAAUCAAGGGAAUCUUAUCCUUAAAACUCUGGAUAAGUAUUACUUUUUUUAAAACAUACAGUUAAUUGCAUAUUUAUCUUUGCAGGUACAGAAUGAGUAAGACCAGCACUGCAAUUCAUGAUAAAUCUUCUGGGGGAUCCAAAAAAAACGUAAUCUGCAGCUUUAAAUUAAAAUAUUUUAUAUUUAUUUUAUAAUAAAGAACCAAAGCACACUUUGUAAAUAAUUCAAGCAUGCUUGUAUCAUAUUCUCAAAUAUUUAUUCUGUUAAUGUCUCUGCACAUUUUUCUCAUUAACCAAAAUAAUUAGUCAAUCUUUUGCUUCUAAUGUAACGCUCCUGUGUUCAAGCUGUAGGUAAAUGUGUGCAAAAAUCGAUAUGUCUUAUCUAGGAGAAACUGGAAAGAAAAUUGUUACCCGCAUGAUAUUUGCUUUAAACUCUCUCACACUAUUAUUUGCAGAGUUAAAAACAUAUGGUUAGAUUUCUGCUUUAGUAUAAUGGAAAACUAAGGAUGAUAAAUUAUGUUCAUGUUUGGAAGACAUUCUGGUGACACACACUUCACUUUCGCACAAUAAGUAGUGAAAGAAGCAAGUAAUUUAUGAGGAGAUUCCUCUCACUCACACUCAAGUUACUGUUUUUCUCACAUGGCAAACUAUGUUUAAGCUGUCAAGUGUAACUCAAAUGAAUGUAGUAAUUAAGAUCAUAGAGUCUCUGUGCUGAAUCCGGAGAUGACACAUGCACAUUAAAGUGUUUGGGAUCAUCUGAUGCAGUGACACAUACUUAAUGAUGGUUGCAGCUAAAAACUCAAAUCAAACAGCCUUAACAGAGCUAGAAAGAUAAAUGUAAAGUAGAGCCAAGCCCAAGCUUGAGUCUACAGAUUAUAAAAGGGAAAAUAUAAAAAUAAUCGGUCUUCCAAUAGCCACACAUAGUUGAUUUCUAAUUAGAAAAGUCACUAUUUAUUUGCUCUUCGAAAGCACCUGAUUGCACCAGUUGUGUACACUAUAUAUGCACUCCCAAAUGCAUUUCAAUAUAAUAAUAUUGAAAGGGAAUUCCUUUAGGGAAGACCAUAAAAAAAAGCUUACUGAAGGGUUCAAUCUUUGGGCAGAUUCUUUAUUGUUUUCAAAAGAUAAAAGUAAAAGAAGGAAUUUGGAGGUGGGGGGUUGCUCCAAUGGACAACACUCCCAACAUAUUACCGAUUCAUACUUAAAGAAGGUAAUCUCUUUUACAUUAAGCUGAGGGCAAACUUCAUCACUAGAUGCAGCUCUAAGAGAACAAUAACAUUCAGCAUACAUUCACAAAAUGUAAGGAUUAUGGUUAAGAUAUAAUUUAAUGGAAAUUGUUAUUUUUUGUAAUUUUGUCUCUUCAAUAAACAAAUGUGUUGCUUUUCUGUUGAUUAAUAAACAAGAAAAAUGUGA
Trematomus bernacchii (emerald rockcod) is the source of this 2069-nucleotide long non-coding RNA. RefSeq lists it as uncharacterized. The record is from RefSeq and is a predicted model, not a curated record. NCBI's taxonomy places the organism in Eukaryota, Metazoa, Chordata, Actinopteri, Perciformes, Nototheniidae. The transcript is spliced from 3 exons.